GACGAACGCUGGCGGCGUGCCUAAUACAUGCAAGUCGAGCGGACCAAAGGGAGCUUGCUCCUGGAGGUUAGCGGCGAACGGGUGAGUAACACGUGGGCAACCUGCCUGUAAGACUGGGAUAACAUCGAGAAAUCGGUGCUAAUACCGGAUAAUAAAAAGAACUGCAUGGUUCUUUUUGAAAGAUGGCUUCGGCUAUCACUUACAGAUGGGCCCGCGGCGCAUUAGCUAGUUGGUGAGGUAACGGCUCACCAAGGCAACGAUGCGUAGCCGACCUGAGAGGGUGAUCGGCCACACUGGGACUGAGACACGGCCCAGACUCCUACGGGAGGCAGCAGUAGGGAAUCUUCCGCAAUGGACGAAAAGUCUGACGGAGCAACGCCGCGUGAGUGAUGAAGGUUUUCGGAUCGUAAAAACUCUGUUGUUAGGGAAGAACAAGUGCCGUUCGAAAGGGCGGCACCUUGACGGUACCUAACGAGAAAGCCACGGCUAACUACGUGCCAGCAGCCGCGGUAAAG
RNAcentral lists this ribosomal RNA (515 nucleotides) under uncultured bacterium. RNAcentral's name for it is "bacterial SSU rRNA". It matches the Rfam family "Bacterial small subunit ribosomal RNA", at positions 28 to 525 of the family's 1533-position model. The record is from RNAcentral.